UCGAAUGAAACUAGAGUCGGUUGUCGCUGGCCCUCUUUACCGGGGGGCAUGUGCACGCCUUCUCUAUUCAUCCACACACACCUGUGAACUCGUGAGACGGACAGUAGUCCUUUAGGGGGCGAGCUCCGUCUGCUAUACAUAAACUCCAGUAUAUAAAAUUGAAUGUCAAUCGAUGUAACGCAUCUAUAAAC
This 191-nucleotide unclassified non-coding RNA is filed under the name uncultured Ceratobasidiaceae. RNAcentral's name for it is "sequence contains ITS1". Lineage: Eukaryota; Fungi; Basidiomycota; Agaricomycetes; Cantharellales; Ceratobasidiaceae. The record is from RNAcentral.